CUCCUUGUAUGCUAUUUUUUCAUCUCACUCGAGAUGUGUUCUGAUUAUGAGGGGGUCCUUGAUUAAUUUUCUAUCAUAAAAGCGGUCUCCGGCCCCAAAAAAGUUUGAGUCUUUGUCUGACUCCAACAGCAGAAAAUGAUUUCUGUAACAUUCGGGAGAGGAGGUUUGGAGGCCUGGGUCAUAUAAGGAGCAGCAUAGAAUGCUAGCCUACUGUGCACAGUGGAGCUCAUCUCAGGCUAGAACAAAGAAGCUACACACCACACUGAAAAAAAAUACAGAGUGGUAAAAAAAGGAGCAAGGGGAAGUGGGAACAAAGUCCUUGAAAGUCAGUGGUCUGCUAUCGUCUACUCCUCAGUUUAUGAUGGUCCUCACAUCUGAUGGGACUUCAGUCAAGAUAAGACCUGGAGCAGUGUGAUAACAAGUUGCAGUUACAUACCACAUGACCUUCCCUGUAGAAAGCUCAGGUCUACUAUAGCUGUAGAUCUGCUGUAUAAAUUGUUUCAACUCUUCAUUCCUCUCAAUAAUAUGAGAUCGGGUCUUGUCAGCUCUCCAGUCAUGCUCUUCCUUUUUGCAUCAAGAUAAGAAUAUGAUUGUGGAACUGGACUGAACUGUUUCUCUCAUCAUAGCCAGACCAGAAAAACACUUUCUUUUUUUUUUUUACUGAAGGGGAGAAUUUUGUUUGCAAGGUAUCGAUAUAUUACCAUCUCUGUAAUAUUUGGAAAAAAUAUAUAUUUUGUUUAACUCUUGAUCUUUAUCCUUCUCCCAGGGGGAGUCGGAUAAUAGCCAACCACCAUCGUCGUUUUCAGGACAUCGCAUGCUUCAUUGCAUCAUCUUGUGGAUAACAAUUUCUUUAUUCUCUGUUACAUUUUGUGCAUAACAUCCAAAAUAAUCUGAUUGCAUCCGA
Molecule: long non-coding RNA, 904 nt
Organism: Salmo salar (Atlantic salmon)
Lineage: Eukaryota; Metazoa; Chordata; Actinopteri; Salmoniformes; Salmonidae
Source: RefSeq, a predicted model, not a curated record